GGGGGGGAGCGAGCGUUGUUCGGGAAUCACUGGGGCGUAAAGGGCGCGUAGGCGGCCGGAUAAGUCGUGUGUGAAAGACCGGGGGGCUCAACUCCGUGUAUUGCAUGCGAUACUGCCCGGCUAGAGUAAGGUAGAGGCGAGUGGAAUUCCCGGUGUAGCGGUGGAAUGCGUAGAUAUCGGGAAGAACACCUGUGGCGAAGGCGGCUCGCUGGGCCUUUUCUGACGCUGAAGCGCGAAAGCGUGGGGAGCAAACAGGAUUAGAUACCCUGGUAGUCCACGCCGUAAACGAUGGGCACUAGGCGUUGGGAGGAUUGACCCUCUCAGUGCCGCAGCUAACGCGUUAAGUGCCCCGCCUGGGGAGUACGGCCGCAAAGGCUGA
RNAcentral lists this ribosomal RNA (379 nucleotides) under uncultured organism. RNAcentral's name for it is "partial 16S ribosomal RNA". It matches the Rfam family "Bacterial small subunit ribosomal RNA", at positions 526 to 897 of the family's 1533-position model. The record is from RNAcentral.